CCAAACUUGGUCAUUUAGAGGAAGUAAAAGUCGUAACAAGGUCUCCGUUGGUGAACCAGCGGAGGGAUCAUUAUCGAGUUUUUAACUCCCAAACCCUUUGUGAACAUAUUUUUCUUGUUGCUUCGGCGGAUCGUCCCAGGCGAGCUUUUCGUGAGCUUCUCUGGAAUCAGGCGUCCGCCGGAGGUAUCAAACUCUUGCAUUUUUAUAGCAUUCUCUGAGUGGCCGAAAGGCAACAAAACAAAUGAAUCAAAACUUUCAACAACGGAUCUCUUGGUUCUGGCAUCGAUGAAGAACGCAGC
Molecule: unclassified non-coding RNA, 299 nt
Filed under: uncultured fungus
Lineage: Eukaryota; Fungi
Description: partial contains small subunit ribosomal RNA, internal transcribed spacer 1, and 5.8S ribosomal RNA
Rfam family: Eukaryotic small subunit ribosomal RNA (bases 1-73)
Source: RNAcentral